RNAcentral lists this ribosomal RNA (253 nucleotides) under uncultured bacterium. Its description in RNAcentral is "partial 16S ribosomal RNA". It matches the Rfam family "Bacterial small subunit ribosomal RNA", at positions 524 to 776 of the family's 1533-position model. The record is from RNAcentral.
UACAGAGGGUGCGAGCGUUAAUCGGAAUUACUGGGCGUAAAGCGUGCGCAGACGGUUAUUUAAGUCGGGUGUGAAAGCCCCGGGCUCAACCUGGGAAUUGCAUUCGAGACUGAAUAGCUAGGGUACGGUAGAGGGAAGCGGAAUUUCCGGUGUAGCGGUGAAAUGCGUAGAUAUCGGAAGGAACAUCAGUGGCGAAAGCGGCUUCCUGGACCAGUACCGACGUUCAGGCACGAAAGCGUGGGGAGCAAACAGG